AACCUGUGACGGCCCCUGAUUUGGCUGCUGCCAUUGAUUCCUCUCUCUCUCUCUCUCUCUCUCUCUCUCUCCACCUGGAGAUGGACUAACGUCACUAAAAUCUCUUCUCUAUCUGGAAGAUGGGCCUUUAUUAUUGUUGUAGAAGCUUGAGGGGGAGUGUUGUUUGAGCAGUGAUGAGUUCUUUUCUUUCGUCCAAUCUCAUGUAAGAUCCGAAAACAUGUAAAUGAGGUCCUUGAAAGAUGGUUUAGCGUACCAGGCGAGAGUAGUUAAAUCCGGUUUUGUCCCGAGCACUUUCUUGUUCAACCGGCUCAUCCGCCUCUACUCCCAGAAUGGCCUCUUGCGAGAAGCCCACAAGCUGUUCGACGAAAUGCCCCAACAGAACGUGUACUCUUGGAAUGCCCUGAUCUCGGCUCACGUAAAAGCUCGGAACCUGACCCGAGCGAGAGCAUUGUUUGACUCCGCCACUGACAGGGACUUGGUAACUUAUAAUUCGAUACUGGCUGGUUACGUGACUGUUGAGGGACACGAGAACGAUGCGCUCGAAUGGUUUGACGAGAUGCAGUCGAUGCGUGAUCGUCUUAAGUUUGACGAAUUUACUUUGACAGCGAUGCUUAACUUGGUGGCAAAGUUACGUGUGGAGUGUUAUGGGUCACAGUUGCAUGCGUAUAUGGUGCGGACAGGGAAUGAUGCAGAUGGGUAUGUCACGAGCUCCUUAAUUGACAUGUACUCUAAAUGUGGGAGUUUUGGAGAAGCAUACAGGGCGUUCUCUGAAUCAAAAGUGGAGGUCGAUUUGGUUUCCAAGAAUGCGAUGAUGGCAGCUUGUUGUAGGGAAGGUAAGAUGGAAAUGGCUUUGGAUCUCUUCCAGAGAUUGACUGAGUUAAAUGAUACAGUGUCUUGGAAUACUUUGAUUUCUGGCUAUGCGCAGAAUGGUUAUGAGGAGGAGUCCCUGAAUUUCUUUAUGAAAAUGAGGGACAGUGGAUUUAGGUGGAAUGAGCACACAUUCGCUAGUGUUCUGAAUGCUUGCUCCAUCAUGCGGAAUUCGAAGCUUGGAAAGGAGAUUCAUGCUGGGGUUUUGAAAGAGGGUUUGAUAUCGAAUCUGUUUGUUAAGAGUGCCAUAGUGGAUGUUUACAGCAAGUGUGGAAAUAUGAGAUAUGCGGACUUAGUUUAUGCGACGAUUGAGUGCGAGAACUCUUUUUCAACAACUUCUAUGAUCGUGGGUCAUUCAUCUCAAGGUAAUAUGUCGGAAGCACGGAGACUUUUUUAUUCUCUGACAGAAAAGAAUUCUAUCGUGUGGACAGCUUUGUUUACUGGUUACGUCAAAGCACAGCAAUGUGAAGCUGUGUUUGAACUGGUGAAUGAAUAUAGAGGGAAUGCAAACAUUUCUUUUGAUGCACCCAUAAUCAUGUGCUUGCUAGGUGCCUGUGCAUUGCAAGCGGCCCUGGAUCUUGGAAAACAAAUUCAUGCUUACUCACUGAGAACAGGGAUGGAAACGGAGGAGAAGCUGAUUAGCGCCACCAUUGACAUGUAUUUUAAGGCUGGUAGUACUGGAUAUGCAGGAAAGAUAUUUCAAAAGCUCACAGAAAGAGAUUUGAUUCUCUACAAUAUCAUGAUUUCCGGUUAUGCAAAUCAUGGGCAUGAAGGUCAGGCUAUGAAGCUGUAUACAGAAAUGUUGGAGAGAGGGUUGAAACCCAAUGAGGUCACCUUUAUUGCACUUCUAUCUGCUUGCCGUCAUAGCGGGUUAUUGGAGAUAGGGGAAAAGUACUUCAAGUCCAUGGUAGAAGAUUACAAAAUAUUGCCUGAAACGGAUCACUAUGCCUGUAUGAUUGAUCUGUAUGGAAGGGCAAAUCAACUAGAAAAGGCAAUGGAUCUCAUGAAGAAAAUUCCCAGGAAUUCGGAUGCUGUGAUUUUGGGGGCUUUUUUGAACGCCUGUAAGAUAAAUAGGAACCUCAGUCUUGCAAGAGAAGCAGCAGAGCAACUGUUGGUUAUCGAGGAAGAUAAUGGAUCUCGGUAUGUGCAGCUGGCAAAUGUAUAUGCAGCUGAGGAAAAUUGGGCAGAGAUGCGCAAGAUAAGAGAGAAAAUGAGAGGGAAGGAAACCAAGAAGCUUGCUGGCUGCAGUUGGGUGUAUCUUGAAAAUGGAAUUCAUGCAUUUACCUCUGGUGAUACAUUGCACUCAAAAGCGGAGGCUAUCUAUUCAAUCUUGGAGUUCCUAUCUGCAGAAUUACGUGCGUUGUCCAAUUCAAGUGUUGGAAAGAUUGCAGGUUUCAUAUCAACAUAAGGGGACAGGUGAAUUCAAAUGCUUGGUACAGGAAAGUCUGUGGUUUCUUUCAAGAGCAUAGAUAGAAGAGGAUGAGGGUUGAUGGUAUAGCAUAUGUAAUUUGAAGAAGGAAAUGCACUCAUCGGUGUACCACACACUGGACAGUGGAGAUAAAGGACGACUGUGAUGGAUAAGAAGAACCGCCAGAUGAAGCUUUAGUGGCAAAGCUUGUUCGUGCCAAAAGCCUUCAGGCUAACAGAGGUUGGAGCACCUUCUUCAGAACCAUCUGACAGGUUAACUUGUCAAAAUCUGAGUUCGUCAUGUUGCCGAUGAACGCUGAUAUCAUAAAGCAGGUCAGGAAUCUAAAUUGAAGGCUCGAUUUGCUGAAAAUUGGAGAACCAGGAAAGAAGACCCGUUUGUGGAAGAAGACUAAUAGCCUGCUGCUGGGACUUUCCUGGACUGUCCACGGUUUGCCAAGUAAGCCACCGUUAUCUCCAAGGACUUCCUGGUACAUGAUGGCAAAGAUAUUCGAGAAGUCGCUGUCUAGGACGAGCUUGUAGUUGGAUAAAGGUAUGAAGGUGCAACAUCUCGAGGGGGUAAUGAUGUGUGCAAUGGUCUUAUAGUGGCUAUCUGGAUAUGCUUAUGUAGAAUGCAGGUAUGGAUUGCCAGACCAUGUCUGGUCAUAUCAAUCCGUCUCAUUCUAAAAGUCUUCUUUCAUUCACAGUUUCAGCAUGACAGCCUCCAUGGCAUCAGGAGAAUAAGGCAGUUUUGUUUGGGUGUCCAUCAUGAAUUCCUCCUAAGGUGCCGCCUGAGCAAGUCCAAAUUUGUUGAAUUCAUUGGAGCCAUUACUCUUUGGAGCUUGUGGUGAUCAGGGAUGAGUACAAAUAUGUACCAUGAUGGACGUGGCAAGACUCUCCAAACUCCGUGCUGAUGGUGUAUGGCGGUGAAAUAUUAUCUGGAGUAUCUGAGGAGAGUCACUUGUGCUUUUUCAUGGUAUGUGUAUUUUCUGAGCUCAUUUCUUCAAACCAAAUCGAUGUCAUACAUUCAGAGAAAUAAAUAUCCUGCGGCACUCAUCCGCUUUGGGUGUUAUUUUCUCGCACACGCAUCUCGCCAAGGCGAU
Rhodamnia argentea is the source of this 3374-nucleotide RNA transcript. It is a transcript of the gene named putative pentatricopeptide repeat-containing protein At3g18840, with no coding region annotated. Lineage: Eukaryota; Viridiplantae; Streptophyta; Magnoliopsida; Myrtales; Myrtaceae. The transcript is spliced from 3 exons. The record is from RefSeq and is a predicted model, not a curated record.